RNAcentral lists this ribosomal RNA (369 nucleotides) under Nothopoda sp. FJ16. Its description in RNAcentral is "partial small subunit ribosomal RNA". Lineage: Eukaryota; Metazoa; Arthropoda; Arachnida; Trombidiformes; Eriophyidae. The record is from RNAcentral.
CUUAAUUUUAUUAAGAAUGACGGGCGAUUUGUGCAUUUUAUCAUUUUAUUUAAAAAUUUAAUUUUUUUUAAUUUUUAUUUUUAGGUCCUUAUUAUAUUUAUUUUAAAUUUUUAAAAUCCUAACUUAUUACUUUUAAUUGUAUUUAAAUAUAUUCUUUUAUUUAUUUAUUGUAUUGAUUUGUACUUUUAUUAUUAUUAAAAUUUUAUAUUUUAUUUUUAAUUAAUUAUAUCAUACAAUUAUAUAAUUAAUUAUAAUAAAAGUUUAUUAAUAGCGUGUUUUCUAUUAAUUAUCAAAAUCCCCUAAUUUUAAUAAAACCGCCAUUUUAUUUAAAUUUUGUUUAUUUAACUACUAUUUAUUAUAUUUUUAAAA